RNAcentral lists this transfer RNA (26 nucleotides) under Stetsonia coryne. RNAcentral describes it as "partial tRNA-Phe". The record is from RNAcentral. Lineage: Eukaryota; Viridiplantae; Streptophyta; Magnoliopsida; Caryophyllales; Cactaceae.
AGGGGGAAUGGUCGGGAUAGUUCAGU